RNAcentral lists this ribosomal RNA (713 nucleotides) under uncultured bacterium. RNAcentral describes it as "bacterial SSU rRNA". It matches the Rfam family "Bacterial small subunit ribosomal RNA", at positions 65 to 789 of the family's 1533-position model. The record is from RNAcentral.
AACGGAGCUGAGAGGAGCUUGCUUUUCUUAGCUUAGUGGCGAACGGGUGAGUAACGCGUGAGUAACCUGCCCUGGAGUGGGGGACAACAGUUGGAAACGACUGCUAAUACCGCAUAAGCCCACGAUCCGGCAUCGGAUUGAGGGAAAAGGAUUUAUUCGCUUCAGGAUGGACUCGCGUCCAAUUAGCUAGUUGGUGAGGUAACGGCCCACCAAGGCGACGAUUGGUAGCCGGACUGAGAGGUUGAACGGCCACAUUGGGACUGAGACACGGCCCAGACUCCUACGGGAGGCAGCAGUGGGGGAUAUUGCACAAUGGGGGAAACCCUGAUGCAGCGACGCCGCGUGGAGGAAGAAGGUUUUCGGAUUGUAAACUCCUGUCGUUAGGGACGAUAAUGACGGUACCUAACAAGAAAGCACCGGCUAACUACGUGCCAGCAGCCGCGGUAAAACGUAGGGUGCAAGCGUCGUCCGGAAUUACUGGGUGUAAAGGGAGCGCAGGCGGACCGGCAAGUUGGAAGUGAAAACUAUGGGCUCAACCCAUAAAUUGCUUUCAAAACUGCUGGCCUUGAGUAGUGCAGAGGUAGGUGGAAUUCCCGGUGUAGCGGUGGAAUGCGUAGAUAUCGGGAGGAACACCGGUGGCGAAGGCGACCUACUGGGCACCAACUGACGCUGAGGCUCGAAAGCAUGGGUAGCAAACAGGAUUAGAUACCCUG